GUGCAUGUCCGGAAAUACCCGACUUUUCCAUUACAAAUCUUGCACCUGCAUGGUCAUGACUGCUUGGGUGGAUAUCCAAUAUCUUGAGUGGCAGGGGCCCAGUAUUUAGGACAUUCCACCGUCAAUGUGAAAGCUUUGACACCCAUCACAAUUAAGUACAAAGCACACCUGGAGGGACUAUAUUCUAAUUUCUGAUAUCAAUAAAGGUGACAGCCAAUGCAAAAUCUUGAAGUACGUGCUACUGAGGGAGUGACACAGCAACAAGCCUACUAUUGUUAAAAUGUGAGAAAAAUUAUGUACUGUACUCAAGUACAAAAAAGUUUUCAAACUAUAAGAGUGAAAUGAAGAGAAAGAUAACACAAAGAUUUGUGUGGCUACCUUCCCUUUUGCCAUAACUGUUCAUAUAUGUGGGUUGAGAGCAGCUCUGAUCUGGCGAUUUGGUCAAAAAAAUAUGAUUCUGAGAGUUUCUAUUUAGAGGAUGUUUUUGGUUGCUUCUGAAAAAAAUCUUGUAGUGGACUUUCUAUGGGCAGAGGGAGUGAAACCUAAGGAAAUUUACUGUCAGAUGUUGGCUUAGUAUAGACAUAGCAUCAUCAAUUUGUGACAGGUUUACAAGUUGUAAAAAAGUUAAGCACGAAGAACAGAUGCAACCAAAACAGGUCACUCUGGUUACCCAUCAACAUCACACACACACACAAGAGCACAUCAAAAGGGCAGAUGCAUUGACUGAAGAAGAUUAACAGAUAAUGGUACCUAAAUUGGGUGUACAUUAGGAUAUCAGCCAUUGAUCAGUAUUCACCAUAAUGCAUAAUGACUUGGGAUACAGGAAAAUCAUCUUCAGUCUAGUAAAGGAGGUGCUGGGGAUGAAAUAAAGAGAGUAUUGGGAACAGCCAAAACACUUCAUCUUCAAAGAAAUACAAAAGCUAGUUGAAAGAUACAACAAAGGCAUUAUCUUGUCUAGGGACUCUGUAGAAAGUGAUAUGUUGAAUUAAAGCCGUGAAAUGUAUUUUGCCUUAACUUUUUCACUCUCCCUUGUAUACAUGUUUGCGUCUUUUUUCACUUUCUCUUCCCACAAAA
This is a long non-coding RNA of Pomacea canaliculata, 1074 nucleotides long. RefSeq lists it as uncharacterized. The transcript has 3 exons. NCBI's taxonomy places the organism in Eukaryota, Metazoa, Mollusca, Gastropoda, Architaenioglossa, Ampullariidae. The record is from RefSeq and is a predicted model, not a curated record.